This 309-nucleotide ribosomal RNA is filed under the name uncultured eukaryote. RNAcentral describes it as "partial 18S ribosomal RNA". It matches the Rfam family "Eukaryotic small subunit ribosomal RNA", at positions 1470 to 1796 of the family's 1831-position model. The record is from RNAcentral.
CCCUUAGAUGUUCUGGGCGGCCCGCGCACUACAUUGGCACUCUCAAUAAGUUCCUAGAUCUAAAACUUUGGGGUAUUCUAUUAAGUGGUGUCGUGACUGGGAUUAACCCUUGCAAUUAUUGGUUACGAACGAGGAAUUCCUUGUAAUCGCGGUUUAUCAGCCCGCGUUGAAUGCGUCCCUGCCCUUUGUACACACCGCCUGUCGCUCCUACCGAUGAAUCGUCCGGUGAAGUUCAUGGAGUGGUGGUUGUUCCAGCUGCUGUCGAAGUGAAAUGGACCUCACGAUUUAGAGGAAGGAGAAGUCGUAACA